AACAAAAGAAGGUUGCUUUUGUUUUCCCCCAAAAUAUUUUCUCUCCCUUUUGCUCUGCAAUGGCAGAGGACGAGUUUUUUCCUUUUCUCCAUUUUGAGGAUCGCUUCGAUCACCAUUUUUGCGAGCAUGGUCUUGUAAGGUCAUUUAGAGUAAACAUUUAUGGAGAAUGGUUGAGAAAUCCCAAGGUUUUGACCAAAGAUUUUGAAUUUUAUUCUCUCUUUUUUCGCAAUCCGACAGAGCAAGAUUUAAAGGCGAUCGAAUCCAUAGUUGCUGACGUUUGAAAGUAGAUCUGAAACCUUCAAGGCUCUAGUUCAUUGCUCGUAAAUAGGUAUAGACGCACAUUUUGGAGAUCUGCUAGCUUAGAAUUCCACUCAGCCAGUUUGGAAGAAGCUCCAUUAUAUCAGAGCUAAGUUUGGGAGUACUGAACCUAUGAUGUAUAUGUUUGUUUAUUCUUGGGUACGGCGGGGGCCCUGUCCCGCCUUAUGUUGUUGUUACUAUUCUUAGAGGUCUGUAG
Molecule: long non-coding RNA, 514 nt
Organism: Solanum dulcamara
Lineage: Eukaryota; Viridiplantae; Streptophyta; Magnoliopsida; Solanales; Solanaceae
Exons: 3
Source: RefSeq, a predicted model, not a curated record